UAAAUACAACUAAUCCAAACAUAAUAAAUAAAAAACUCAACUGUUUCAAACAAUUACCAUACCACUAAUACACUUAAAGCCACCAAUUGUAAUCAUAUUAAAACUUAUUCAAGUUUUAGUUAUGAAACUGCACUAAAAAAACAACUAACUUAUGAUUUUACACAUAAAGAUAUAUCAUAUAAUGUAUUAAGAAAUUAUUUUAGUGAUUCAGAAUUACAUUUAUAUUCUAGUUCAUAUAAUGACAAAACAAAAUUAAACAAACAAUUAAAUAAAAAUAAAACGUCAAAUAGUAAAAAUAACUUAUCAAAUAUGAACUUGUUUGGGGAUUCAACCAUGAGUAGAAAAUAUACCGAACAAAAAACAUAAAUGGAAACAAAACGAUGAAACAGGUAAUAACAGAUACAUACAUAUUUGUUGUAAGAUUGUAUACAUUUUAUAACAAAAUAAAAAUUAACUUCUAUACAUAACUAAAAAUAUUGGAAUGUUUGGAUUUUUAGUAUAACUAAAAAAAUGUUCUAUAUAAUAUUGUUGUAUGUUAGAUGCUUAAAAAAAAUAAGAAAAAUAAAAAAAACAAAAAAAAUAAAAAAAAUAAAAAAUCUAUUUUUUAUACAUACUUUUUUAGAUAACUAUCUAGAUAACAAAAGUACGGGACAAUUACUGAAUAAAAUUAUUGAACAUUUAAAUAUAAAUCUGAAAAAGACAUUAAAAAGAUAUAUACAAGAAAUUAACAAGCUGACUAAAAAUAACUGCAACUUAAAUAAUAAACUGGAAACCACUGUUGAACUUAAUGAUGAACAAGCUUUAGAAAUCAGAGAAUUGAAUAUAGAAAUGAACAAAAUUAAAGAAAAAAAUAUAGAAAUGAAUAAAGUAAUCGAAAAUUAUGAGCUAAAUAUGGACAUUCUAAAGAAAGCAAGAAAUGAUCAAAUAAGUGAUAAAAAAACAAAGAGAUGCAAUGGAACAAGAAAUUAAAAAAUUAAAAAACAAGUUAUCCCUGGCAAACACUCUCAAUGACAAAAUACAAAAUGAAAAGAUAAUUUUAGAAGAAACGAUUGAACAUAAAAAGAAUAAAAUUAAAAAAAAAAAAUACA
This 1088-nucleotide long non-coding RNA is filed under the name Piliocolobus tephrosceles (Ugandan red Colobus). Its description in RNAcentral is "lncRNA (ENSPTEG00000024137.1)". The record is from RNAcentral. Lineage: Eukaryota; Metazoa; Chordata; Mammalia; Primates; Cercopithecidae.